GCACUAGUGGGUUAGUGGUAAACUUGGUCGUUGCCAUCUCUUGAUUUCGACCAGCCCCCGGUUCAAUUCCGGGCUAGUGCA
This 81-nucleotide transfer RNA is filed under the name Cephalotrichum gorgonifer. RNAcentral describes it as "transfer RNA-Gly(GCC)". It matches the Rfam family "tRNA". Rfam says of the family: Transfer RNA (tRNA) molecules are approximately 80 nucleotides in length. The record is from RNAcentral. Lineage: Eukaryota; Fungi; Ascomycota; Sordariomycetes; Microascales; Microascaceae.